RNAcentral lists this ribosomal RNA (256 nucleotides) under uncultured bacterium. RNAcentral describes it as "partial 16S ribosomal RNA". It matches the Rfam family "Bacterial small subunit ribosomal RNA", at positions 524 to 777 of the family's 1533-position model. The record is from RNAcentral.
UACGGGGGGGGGCAAGCGUUGUUCGGAAUUACUGGGCGUAAAGGGCUCGUAGGUGGCCAACUAAGUCAGACGUGAAAUCCCUCAGCUUAACUGGGGAACUGCGUCUGAUACUGGAUGGCUUGAGUUUGGGAGAGGGACGCGGAAUUCCAGGUGUAGCGGUGAAAUGCGUAGAUAUCUGGAGGAACACCGGUGGCGAAGGCGGCGUCCUGGACCAACACUGACACUGAUGAGCGAAAAGCCAGGGGAGCAAACGGGG